Molecule: ribosomal RNA, 167 nt
Filed under: uncultured bacterium
Lineage: Bacteria
Description: partial 16S ribosomal RNA
Rfam family: Bacterial small subunit ribosomal RNA (bases 35-167)
Source: RNAcentral
GCCGUUCCUGCGCGCAGCCUGAUCAGCAUGCCGCGUGAGUGAUGAAGGCCUUCGGGUUGUAAACCUCUUUUGUCAGGGAAGAAACGGUCGGGGCUAAUAUCCCAGGCUACUGACGGUUCCUGAACAAUAAGCCCCGGCUAACUACAUGCCAGCAGCCGCGGUAAUAA